UGGGGAAUAUUGCACAAUGGGCGCAAGCCUGAUGCAGCCAUGCCGCGUGUAUGAAGAAGGCCUUCGGGUUGUAAAGUACUUUCAGCGGGGAGGAAGGGAGUAAAGUUAAUACCUUUGCUCAUUGACGUUACCCGCAGAAGAAGCACCGGCUAACUCCGUGCCAGCAGCCGCGGUAAUACGGAGGGUGCAAGCGUUAAUCGGAAUUACUGGGCGUAAAGCGCACGCAGGCGGUUUGUUAAGUCAGAUGUGAAAUCCUCGGGCUCAACCUGGGAACUGCAUCUGAUACUGGCAAGCUUGAGUCUCGUAGAGGGGGGUAGAAUUCCAGGUGUAACGGUGAAAUGCGUAGAGAUCUGGAGGAAUACCGGUAGCGAAGGCGGCCCCCUGGACGAAGACUGACGCUCAGGUGCGAAAGCGUGGGGAGCAAACAGG
RNAcentral lists this ribosomal RNA (429 nucleotides) under Chloroflexota bacterium. RNAcentral describes it as "Chloroflexi bacterium partial 16S ribosomal RNA". It matches the Rfam family "Bacterial small subunit ribosomal RNA", at positions 355 to 776 of the family's 1533-position model. Lineage: Bacteria; Bacillati; Chloroflexota. The record is from RNAcentral.